AGGAUUAACGCUGGCGGCGUGCCUGACACAUGCAAGUCGAACGAGGCCGCAAGGCCGAGUGGCGGACGGGUGAGUAACACGUGACCAACCAACCUCGAAGUUGGGAAUAGCUCUGCGAAAGUAGGGGUAAUACCGAAUGUGGCCCAGGGCGGGCAUCCGCCUUGGUCUAAAGAUUCAUCGCUUCGAGACGGGGUCGCGGCCUAUUAGCUUGUUGGUGAGGUAACGGCUCACCAAGGCGAUGAUGGGUAGCUGGUCUGAGAGGACGACCAGCCACACUGGGACUGAGACACGGCCCAGACUCCUACGGGAGGCAGCAGUGAGGAAUCUUCCGCAAUGGGCGAAAGCCUGACGGAGCAACGCCGCGUGUGGGAUGGAAGACUCUAGGGUUGUAAACCACUGUCGGAGGGGACGAUCGUGACGGUACCCUCCAAGAAAGCCCCGGCUAACUACGUGCCAGCAGCCGC
Molecule: ribosomal RNA, 464 nt
Filed under: uncultured bacterium
Lineage: Bacteria
Description: SSU rRNA
Rfam family: Bacterial small subunit ribosomal RNA
Source: RNAcentral